CCUACGGGUGGCUGCAGUGAGGAAUAUUGGUCAAUGGGCGCGAGCCUGAACCAGCCAAGUAGCGUGAAGGAUGACUGCCCUACGGGUUGUAAACUUCUUUUAUAAAGGAAUAAAGUGAGGCACGUGUGCCUUUUUGUAUGUAUUUCAUGAAUAAGGAUCGGAUAACUCCGUGCCAGCAGCCGCGGUAAUACGGAGGAGCCGAGCGUUAUCCGGAUUUAUUGGGUGUAAAGGGAGCGUAGAUGGGUUGUUAAGUCAGUUGUGAAAGUUUGCGGCUCAACCGUAAAAUUGCAGUUGAUACUGGCAGCCUUGAGUACAGUUGAGGUAGGCGGAAUUCGUGGUGUAGCGGUGAAAUGCUUAGAUAUCACGAAGAACUCCGAUUGCGAAGGCAGCUUACUAAACUGCAACUGACAUUGAUGCUCGAAAGUGUGGGUAUCAAACAGGAUUAGAUACCCGAGUAGUC
This 460-nucleotide ribosomal RNA is filed under the name uncultured bacterium. Its description in RNAcentral is "partial 16S ribosomal RNA". It matches the Rfam family "Bacterial small subunit ribosomal RNA", at positions 338 to 795 of the family's 1533-position model. The record is from RNAcentral.